This 652-nucleotide ribosomal RNA is filed under the name Clanculus microdon. RNAcentral's name for it is "partial 12S rRNA". Lineage: Eukaryota; Metazoa; Mollusca; Gastropoda; Trochida; Trochidae. The record is from RNAcentral.
GACAAACAGGUCGAAUUAAGAUGUAAACAGUAUAAAAGGAGGUUAGGGUAAUGUGAAAAGGAAGAGUUUAGUGUUUUUAUAGAGGUGGAAUUUGUAUAAAAAGAUAGGGUUUUUUUUCUUCUUUGUUCUGAUGCCUCGAAGGUUUAGGAGAAGACCGGGAUUAGAUACCCCGUUAUUUAUUCAGUAAACUUUAAUGAUGUUUUAAUUUACUAGGGUAUUACGAGCUGCUUAGUUAUAUUAUUUUCUGAGUGUUGCGCUUAAAACCCAAAAAACUUGGCGGUGCCUUAUUUCUUUCCAGGGGAACCUGUCCUGUAAUCGAUGGUCCACGAUUUAGCUUACCUCUUUUUGUAUUUUAGGGCUAUUAUUAGCUGAUAUUAGCAGCCUGUAUACCGUCGUCGUCAGAUUACCUUUAAGAGUAGUAGAAGUUGUCAAGAGGGAGUGAAUUAGUACUUAUUAUAUUUUAUGAAUUAGUUUUCAUUCAAUUGUAAAUAAUAGGGGGAAUGUUAUCUUUGAUGUCAGAUCAAGGUGCAGCUUAUGAAGAGGAAGAGAUGGGUUACAAUAAUUAUUGGUUAGACGGAUUUUAUGUUGUAAUACAUAAUUGAAGGUGGACUUGGGAGUAAUAUUAAUUAAUAAUUAAAUUAAGUAAAUAGUA